Molecule: ribosomal RNA, 503 nt
Rfam family: Bacterial large subunit ribosomal RNA
GGGUUGUAGGACACUCUAUACGGAGUUACAAAGGACGACAUUAGACGAAUCAUCUGGAAAGAUGAAUCAAAGAAGGUAAUAAUCCUGUAGUCGAAAAUGUUGUCUCUCUUGAGUGGAUCCUGAGUACGACGGAGCACGUGAAAUUCCGUCGGAAUCUGGGAGGACCAUCUCCUAAGGCUAAAUACUCUCUAGUGACCGAUAGUGAACCAGUACCGUGAGGGAAAGGUGAAAAGCACCCCGGAAGGGGAGUGAAAUAGAACCUGAAACCGUGUGCUUACAAGUAGUCAGAGCCCGUUAAUGGGUGAUGGCGUGCCUUUUGUAGAAUGAACCGGCGAGUUACGAUUUGAUGCAAGAUUAAGCAGUAAAUGUGGAGCCGUAGCGAAAGCGAGUCUGAAUAGGGCGUUUAGUAUUUGGUCGUAGACCCGAAACCAGGUGAUCUACCCUUGGUCAGGUUGAAGUUCAGGUAACACUGAAUGGAGGACCGAACCGACUUACGUUGAAAA